UGCGCACAUACCUGGUGCCCGUUAUAAAGUAGUUCCAGAGUGCAUCAUACAGUGCACUGUGUAGAGUGAGGUGUCGCUGCACGUAUACCUAUUGUACAUUAUAAAAUAGUUCCAGUGCGUUAUACUCGUCAUACCCUGCACUGUAUCGAGCGUACGAAGGCACUGUACAUUUACCUACUGUACAUUACUUCCCCUCUCUGCCGCCUCAGGCCCCAGGUGGAGGUUUCUCCAGGAUCAGGAAUGUAUCUAACCCUGUUUUGAAGCUUUCAACUGUUCCUGCUGUGACCAGUUCCUGAGGUAGACUGUUCCAUAAAUUCACAGUUCUUAUGGUAAAGAAGGAGUGUCACCCCUUGAGACAAAAUUUUUGCUUCUCCAGAUAGAGGGAGUGCCCCCUUGUACUCUGAGGGGGUUUAACCCGGAACAGUUUUCCCCAUAUUUCUUGUAAGGGCCAUUUAUAUAUUUAUAUACGUUGAUCAUAUCUACCCUUAAACGUCUCUUCUCAAGACUAAACAAAUGAAAUUCUUUUAAUCUUUCCUCAUAGCUAAGAUGUUCCAUACCCAAAUUAGUUUAUUUGCGUGUCUCUGCACCCUUUCUAGCUUCACAACGUCCCUUUUAUGAACUGGUGCCCAACACUGAACAACAUAUUCCAGGUGAGGCCAAACAAAUGCUUUAUAAAGCGGUAGUAUUAUGUCCCUGUCCCUCGAGUCCAUGCCUCUUCCGAUACAUAACAAUAUCCUACUGGCCUUAGAUGCAUGCUAUUCUGUAGUCUAUGAUCUACAAGUACACCCAGAUCGUUCUCUACCAUUUAGUUAUAGAAUUGUAUAGUUUUAUAACCUGCACACAUGUAAACUUCUCUUCACAUUCAUUCUACUGUGCAAUGGCCCCUAUCUGCACAGUGGAAGGGUACAGUCCUGUGGAUGGCAUUCGUGAGCUAACAGAAUAGGACUAAGCGUGGCGUAAGACAUGUGACAUGCCACACACAUACCAUGUGACUCCUGGUAUUCAGUUAGCAACAGUCACCUGAUGCCCAUAUGAUACUGAAUAAGAAUAAUGAGGGGGAUUUAUCAAAACCUAUGCAUGGGAAAAAUUGCC
Long non-coding RNA from Hyla sarda, 1092 nucleotides. RefSeq lists it as uncharacterized. NCBI's taxonomy places the organism in Eukaryota, Metazoa, Chordata, Amphibia, Anura, Hylidae. The transcript is spliced from 3 exons. The record is from RefSeq and is a predicted model, not a curated record.